This 247-nucleotide non-coding RNA is filed under the name Eubacterium sp. CAG:841. RNAcentral's name for it is "Bacterial large subunit ribosomal RNA". It matches the Rfam family "Bacterial large subunit ribosomal RNA", at positions 2680 to 2925 of the family's 2925-position model. The record is from Rfam by way of RNAcentral. Lineage: Bacteria; Bacillati; Bacillota; Clostridia; Eubacteriales; Eubacteriaceae.
AGUACGAGAGGACCGGGAUGGACGCACCUCCGGUGCACCAGUUGUUCCGCCAGGAGCACAGCUGGAUAGCCGAGUGCGGUCGUGAUAAACGCUGAAAGCAUCUAAGCGUGAAGCAUGCUUCAAGAUAAGAUAUCCCAUGAUUUCAAAUCAGUAAGGUCACUUGUAGACUACAAGUUUGAUAGGUCGGAGGUGUAAGCACAGUAAUGUGUUCAGCUGACCGAUACUAAUAGACCGAGGGCUUGAACUA